RNAcentral lists this ribosomal RNA (274 nucleotides) under uncultured bacterium. Its description in RNAcentral is "partial 16S ribosomal RNA". It matches the Rfam family "Bacterial small subunit ribosomal RNA", at positions 523 to 796 of the family's 1533-position model. The record is from RNAcentral.
AUACAGAGGGUGCAAGCGUUAAUCGGAAUUACUGGGCGUAAAGCGCGCGUAGGCGGUUUAUUAAGUCGGAUGUGAAAUCCCUGGGCUCAACCUGGGAACUGCAUACGAAACUGAUUGACUAGAGUAUGGUAGAGGGUGGUGGAAUUCCUAGUGUAGCGGUGAAAUGCGUAGAUAUUAGGAGGAACAUCAGUGGCGAAGGCGACCACCUGGACCAAUACUGACGCUGAGGUGCGAAAGCGUGGGGAGCAAACAGGAUUAGAUACCCUAGUAGUCC